RNAcentral lists this ribosomal RNA (464 nucleotides) under Vreelandella stevensii. RNAcentral's name for it is "partial 16S ribosomal RNA". It matches the Rfam family "Bacterial small subunit ribosomal RNA", at positions 339 to 795 of the family's 1533-position model. The record is from RNAcentral. Lineage: Bacteria; Pseudomonadati; Pseudomonadota; Gammaproteobacteria; Oceanospirillales; Halomonadaceae.
CUAGGGGAGGCAGCAGUGGGGAAUAUUGGACAAUGGGCGAAAGCCUGAUCCAGCCAUGCCGCGUGUGUGAAGAAGGCCUUCGGGUUGUAAAGCACUUUCAGUGGGGAAGAAAGCCUUGGGGCUAAUACCCUCGAGGAAGGACAUCACCCACAGAAGAAGCACCGGCUAACUCCGUGCCAGCAGCCGCGGUAAUACGGAGGGUGCGAGCGUUAAUCGGAAUUACUGGGCGUAAAGCGCGCGUAGGCGGUCUGAUAAGCCGGUUGUGAAAGCCCCGGGCUCAACCUGGGAACGGCAUCCGGAACUGUCAGGCUAGAGUGCAGGAGAGGAAGGUAGAAUUCCCGGUGUAGCGGUGAAAUGCGUAGAGAUCGGGAGGAAUACCAGUGGCGAAGGCGGCCUUCUGGACUGACACUGACGCUGAGGUGCGAAAGCGUGGGUAGCAAACAGGAUUAGAUACCCCUGUAGUC